This 226-nucleotide long non-coding RNA is filed under the name Setaria italica (foxtail millet). RNAcentral's name for it is "long non-coding RNA (SITA_LNC005043)". The record is from RNAcentral. Lineage: Eukaryota; Viridiplantae; Streptophyta; Magnoliopsida; Poales; Poaceae.
AACAGAAUCCGCCAUCCUCCCCGGUGGGCACAGACACCACGACUAAACAUCAUCAUCGUGCCUGGCAGCAACGGCCACUCGAGAGAUCAUCGACAGGAUCUGGAGGCAGCCGCCCUCUCCCGACAGACGCGAUGACAGGAGCUGGAGGCCGAAGCGAGGGGUGGCGGCCCUGGCACUUGGUCCCUCUCCUUACAUUGUAUUUUACUUAGCUUUUUUUUUAUCUCUU